GCGCCCGUAGCUCAGCUGGAUAGAGCGUUGCCCUCCGAAGGCAGAGGUCAGAGGUUCGAAUCCUCUCGGGCGCGCCA
This 77-nucleotide transfer RNA is filed under the name Methylocystis rosea. RNAcentral's name for it is "tRNA-Arg". It matches the Rfam family "tRNA". From Rfam's summary of the family: Transfer RNA (tRNA) molecules are approximately 80 nucleotides in length. RNAcentral also lists the same sequence under 12 other names. The record is from RNAcentral. Lineage: Bacteria; Pseudomonadati; Pseudomonadota; Alphaproteobacteria; Hyphomicrobiales; Methylocystaceae.